GACGAACGCUGGCGGCGUGCCUAAUACAUGCAAGUAGAACGCUGAAGGAGGAGCUUGCUUCUCUGGAUGAGUUGCGAACGGGUGAGUAACGCGUAGGUAACCUGCCUGGUAGCGGGGGAUAACUAUUGGAAACGAUAGCUAAUACCGCAUAACAGUAGAUAUCGCAUGAUAUCUACUUGAAAGGUGCAAUUGCAUCACUACCAGAUGGACCUGCGUUGUAUUAGCUAGUUGGUGGGGUAACGGCUCACCAAGGCGACGAUACAUAGCCGACCUGAGAGGGGGAGAGGAGAGGCGGGGGCGGAGAGACGGACGAGACUGGGAGGGGAGGGAGCAGGAGGGAAUCGGGGGGAAGAGAGGGAAGGGGGAGCGAGGAAGGCGGGGGGGGGGAAGAAGGUGGUCGGAGGGGAAAGGGGUGUUGUAAGAGAAGAAGGAGUGGGAGAGGGGAAAGUGCAGAGUGUGACGGUAGCGUAGCAGAAAGGGACGGCUAACUACGUG
Molecule: ribosomal RNA, 495 nt
Filed under: uncultured bacterium
Lineage: Bacteria
Description: partial 16S ribosomal RNA
Rfam family: Bacterial small subunit ribosomal RNA (bases 20-338)
Source: RNAcentral